RNAcentral lists this long non-coding RNA (2390 nucleotides) under Nicotiana benthamiana. Its description in RNAcentral is "long non-coding RNA (NBEN_LNC010386)". Lineage: Eukaryota; Viridiplantae; Streptophyta; Magnoliopsida; Solanales; Solanaceae. The record is from RNAcentral.
CCUGUGAGUUCUGUGUCUUGAGACGUUUAAGGUCAAGUUUCAUGCAUUUACUUUAUAAUGAUAAAAGGAUUUGCUACACCUCAAAAAUAACCAGAAAGUAUACUUCCUGCUUUUAAUAAAAGUUUAUAGUCCACUCAAAGCUGUCCUUUGUUAAUUGUUAUAUAAGACAAUUCAUUUGUUGUCUGCUUACGUAGUAUUCCUUAAUAGAGCAGGAGACAUCCUGACUUCGGUAAUCAUCAUGAACAUUACUAGUGGGAAGUGUUAAUGGUUUAUGUGCAUGUUUUGUUACAUUCUGACUUAGGUAAUCGUCAUAAACAUUACUAGUGGGAAGUGUUAAUGGUUUAUGUGCAUGUUUUGUUUCUUUAGGGAUAUGUGUUUGGCUGUGUUCAUCUCAAUGUUCACUUGGAUCUGCUCUUAUAUUUUUGGGGAUGGGAUAUCUAUUGUGUCAGAAUAAUUUGUAGGAGGAUAUUUGAACCUUACGUACGUGAAGCGUUUUGUUUCCUUCAGUUGUACCCUUUAUGUAUAUUGCUUGUCUGGCUACCUUAGUACGGGAGGAUAUUUGAACCUUACGCACGUGAAGCGUUUUGUUUCCUUCAGUUGUACCCUUUAUGUAUAUUGCUUGUCUGGCUACCUUUUUCUUCCUUGUGCUGGUAGGUCGCUUUUGGAUUUUACCAGUUCUCUGCUCUUAGGGCUAUUGUCUAUUCAAUAUGAAGAGUCAUCAUUUCCUCUAUUUGUUUUUUCCAACAUAUGCUGCGCGCGUGCUCUGUGACAUUAUCACUCUCCCUCUCUUGUUCACACAUGGCUCUGGGGUCUGUAGCCGCCUGAAGCAACAAUGUUUUUGGAACAGCAUUGGAGCAAACAAAUGCUAUCUCAUACACAGGGGUGACUCUGUGUUGGGACAUUUUCAGGGUUGAGCAAUUAAGUUUAUGCCAAUUUUCUGUUGGUUAACUCUUGUUUUUCUCUUUUUUGUUUUAUUCUCUCACAGACUGCUUUAAAGCUUGUAUCUGCCAUUAAAGGUAGCCGGGAGAAACAAGGCAAAUCACCCAGGAAGCUGUCUGUGACAUGGGCUCCUGAUGUGUAUGACCCUAUUCCAACAGCAGUUUCGCAUGUGCCAAACAAGGGACAACGCCACAGGAGUGACAACAAGAGGAGUGGGAAGAGUAAGCAAAAAAGCAAUGGCAAAUCUUCACGAGGGAGCAAGAGUAAAGACAAGAAACAAGGUCGCAAGCUUGGUGGGAGUGCCAAGAGGAGUUAUCAUCAUCUGGAGGAUAACCACAUAACGGCUUGUUCUAGCUACCAUUCUUUGGGGGAUAACAUAACUGCUCAUUCUAGCGGCCUGCAAGCUAGCACUGUGGAUUAUGAUAUUGGCAGCACUCCAGAUCCAUUCUGUGGGAGUAGUUUUCUCAAGAAAUCUGUCACAAAGUUGCAUUUUCCAGUUGCAGAAGCUUCCUGAGCUUCCUUUUUGGUUGUGGUGUGAACUGUUGACCGUUUCAUCUAGUUCUGUAAAUAAAUAAGUAUGACGCUUAACUGAGUUGUGGAAUUCGUAUGUGGUGUGAGCUGUUGAACGUUUCAUCUAGUUCUGUAAAUAAACAAGUAUGAUGCUUAACUGAGUUGUGGAAUUCCUUGCGAGUGUUGUUAUUUGCAUUUUUGUACCUAAGUUUUAAAACUUUUGCCCGGUUGGUGAGCGAAUGGACUCUUUUUUUUGCUUUGCUGUAUUUCAUGUUAGCAAGUUAAAGAGUGUUUUUAAUUCAUUGUUUCUCCCUUUAGUCUGGGAUUUUGACCAUGAUACCCUGUAAUCCGACCAUGUCCUGAAUGUUUCAUGUGCCUAGCAAGUAGUGCUAUGUUAUGGGGGUGUAUGUUAUGGGGGUGUGCACUCGAAUCGGUUUAUCGAUAAAUCGAAUCGAUUAUUUGUUAUGGAUUUAUCGAUAUCGGUUUAUCGAUUUCAUUUUCGAUUUCAAAAUUUUCCUUAUCGAGUUAUCGAUUUCGAUUUCAAUUCUGUCCUUUUCGGUUUAUCGAUAAACCGAUAAUAUACACUAUUUUUUUAAUUUUUUAUAAAUUGUUUUUUAAAAUAUUUUUUUAAAUUUCUUUUACCCUUAUUUUAUAAUACCAUUUUCUUUACCCUAAGUCCCUAGCGCUAUUAUUUCCUCUACCACAUUUAAGGAUUGAUCAUAUUUAAAGCUAAAGGGAAUAAAGUUCAAAUUAAUGGAAAAUAAAAUUAGCCGUGAUGAUAUAUUUUACCGUUCAUGUGUUUGUUGACACAAUAUUUAUGUUAUAAACGAUGCUCUUCUUAUUUUAGCUUCUUUUUGUUCAUAUUAGUUAGGUGUGUUUGUAGCGAUAUACUUUUUGUGGAAUCCCGAAAAUUUUCUUAUUGGUGUAAUCGAUAACCGAAU